Molecule: ribosomal RNA, 252 nt
Filed under: uncultured bacterium
Lineage: Bacteria
Description: partial 16S ribosomal RNA
Rfam family: Bacterial small subunit ribosomal RNA
Source: RNAcentral
UACAGAGGGUGCGAGCGUUAUCCGGAAUUACUGGGCGUAAAGGGUGCGUAGGUGGCCUGAUAAGUCAGGGGUCAAAGGCAACGGCUCAACCGUUGUAAGCCCUUGAAACUAUCGGGCUUGAGUUCAGGAGAGGAAAGCGGAAUUCCAAGUGUAGCGGUGAAAUGCGUAGAUAUCGGGAGGAACAUCAGUGGCGAAGGCGGCACUCUGGACAAAGACUGACGCUCAGGUGCGAAAGCGUGGGGAGCAAACAGG